CUCGUAUUUUGGUGUGAAUAGCCAUAUUUGAAUGGAUAGCUCUACAAGAUAGGAAAAUAGUUUAGUGUGCAUUGAAACAAUAGUUACAGAGUUUUGCCUUUUUGUUUUGUUUCUGUGUACUUUUGAUUCAUACCUGCAACAUCGUAUUAUUGGUUCAUGUGAUUCUGAUGAAUUUGGUACAUGCAAAAUCCCUCUGCGAUAUCUUUGAUUUCGACAUUGUUACCAGUUUAGGGUAUUGAAAUCCUGUUAAUCCUAAAGUGUUAUAUGUGCUUGUGUGUUGGUGUCCUCUACAUGUUUGUUCUUAUACUUACGAGAACUGAAAAUAUUCUGUUUUUCAGGUAUCCGUUCAAGUGGUUGAUGGCUAAUGUAUGAUGGAUAAAGAGUCGCGUCUUGGUAUUUAUGGUUGUGAGAAGAAAAGUGGACCUCAAUGCUACCGUACAAUUAAUAGGAUACUAUGUUGCUUCCAGCCCGUGGAUAAGAAUGUUUUAGUCGCUGGGGUCCUAGAGAGAUUGGUGAACAGAUGAAGCUGAUGGGAGAUCUCUGGUCACCUGCAAGUUAAGCUAAUUUAAGAUCAAGUUCGACAGUUAUUUAGUUUCAAGUUCAGCAGUACCGCAGUAGUUAGUAUUCAAGUUCAGCAGCAAUUUUGUAAUAGUGAUUUCUGAAAUUUUCAUGCUGCUGGUUAGUUACUGCUAAGUGGCAUUCAAUUGUAUCAGGACGAAUUUUAUUUGUAAUCUCAAGGCUGGAAUUUGUUUUAGUGAGAUAUUUCCUGAAA
Molecule: long non-coding RNA, 772 nt
Organism: Triticum aestivum (bread wheat)
Lineage: Eukaryota; Viridiplantae; Streptophyta; Magnoliopsida; Poales; Poaceae
Exons: 2
Source: RefSeq, a predicted model, not a curated record